UCAAGUUAUUAAGGGUGCAGGGCGGAUGCCUUGGCACUAGGAGCCGAUGAAGGACGUGAUAAGCUGCGAUAAGCUUCGGGGAGUUGCACGUAAACUUUGAUCCGAAGAUUUCCGAAUGAGGAAACUCACUUAGAGUAAUGUCUAAGUAUCAUUAAGUGAAUACAUAGCUUAAUGAGGGGAACUCAGGGAACUGAAACAUCUAAGUACCUGAAGGAAGAGAAAGAAAUUCGAUUCCGUAAGUAGCGGCGAGCGAACGCGGAUUAGCCCAAACCAAUAAAGUUUUCUUUAUUGGGGUUGCGGACAUAUCAUAACGAAGAGGUAUCGUAAUUGAAGAGGUUUGGAAAGACCCACCACAGAAGGUAAUAGUCCUGUAUGUUAAACGAGAAGACUUCAGAUAUGAUCCAGAGUACCACGGGACACGUGAAACCCUGUGGGAAGCAGGAGGGACCACCCUCCAAGGCUAAAUACUACCUAGUGACCGAUAGCGUAUAGUACCGUGAGGGAAAGGUGAAAAGAACCCCGGGAGGGGAGUGAAAUAGAACCUGAAACCCUGCACUUACAAGCUGUGGAAGCACAUUUCUUGUGUGACCGCGUACUUUUUGUAGAACGGGCCAACGAGUUACGUUAAGUAGCAAGGUUAAGCACUUAAGGUGUGGAGCCGUAGCGAAAGCGAGUUUUAACUGAGCGUUCAGUUACUUGACGUAGACCCGAAACCGGGCGACCUACCCAUGAGCAGGAUGAAGCGAAAGUAAAAUUUCGUGGAGGUCCGAACCCACGAGCGUUGAAAAGCUCGGGGAUGACUUGUGGGUAGCGGUGAAAUUCCAAUCGAGCCCGGAGAUAGCUGGUUCUCCCCGAAAUAGCUUUAGGGCUAGCCUCAAGGUGAGAGAUACGGAGGUAGAGCACUGAAUGUCCUAGGGGGUAUUGCACCUACCGAAGACUAUCAAACUCCGAAUGCCGUCAUCUUAUACUUGGGAGUCAGACUGUGGGUGAUAAGAUUCAUAGUCGAAAGGGCAACAGCCCAGAUCGUCAGCUAAGGUCCCUAAAUGUAAGUUAAGUGGUAAAGGAUGUGGGAUUGCACAGACAACCAGGAUGUUGGCUUAGAAGCAGCCACUCAUUCAAAGAGUGCGUAAUAGCUCACUGGUCGAGUGAUCCUGCGCCGAAGAUUUCCGGGGCUAAAACUUACUACCGAAGCUACGGCAUCAGUAAUGAUGGGUAGGGGAGCUUCCCAUACGGGUUGAAGCAUGACCGUAAGGACAUGUGGACAGUAUGGGAGUGAGAAUGUUGGCAUGAGUAGCGAGAUGUGGGUGAGAAUCCCACAGGCCGUAAACCCAAGGUUUCCAGGGGAAGGUUCGUCCGCCCUGGGUUAGUCGGGACCUAAGCUGAGGCCGAAAGGCGUAGGUGAUGGACAACAGGUUGAUAUUCCUGUACUACCGAUAACCGUUUGAGAGAAGGGAUGACACAGUAGGAUAAGCUAAGCACACUGUUGGUUAUGUGUGCCCAAGCAUUGAGGCAGUCAAAGUAGGCAAAUCCGCUUUGAUAAUGCUGGGAUGUGAUGGGGAGCGAAAUUUAGUAGCGAAGUAGCUGAUUUCACACUGUCAAGAAAAGUCUCUAUCGAGGUUAAAGGUACCCGUACCGCAAACCGACACAGGUGGGUGAGGAGAGUAUCCUAAGGCCAGCGAGAGAACUGUUGUUAAGGAACUCGGCAAAAUGACCCCGUAACUUAGGGAUAAGGGGUGCCACCAUCAGGUGGCCGCAGAGAAUAGGCCCAAGCGACUGUUUACCAAAAACAUAGGUUUCUGCUAAGUCGCAAGACGAUGUAUAGGAGCUGACGCCUGCCCGGUGCUGGAAGGUUAAGGGGAUCUGUUAGAGCAAUCGAAGCAGUGAACUUAAGCCCCAGUAAACGGCGGCCGUAACUAUAACGGUCCUAAGGUAGCGAAAUUCCUUGUCGGGUAAGUUCCGACCCGCACGAAAGGCGUAACGAUUUGGGCACUGUCUCAACAACAGACUCGGUGAAAUUGUAAUUCCGGUGAAGAUGCCGGAUACCUGCGACAGGACGGAAAGACCCCAUGGAGCUUUACUGUAGCUUGACAUUGGGUUUUGGUACUACAUGUACAGGAUAGGUGGGAGGCUUUGAAACCAGGACGCCAGUUUUGGCGGAGCCAUCCUUGGGAUACCACCCUUGUAGUACUGGGACUCUAACCAUAGGCCAUGAAUCUGGUCUUGGGACACUGUCAGGUGGGCAGUUUGACUGGGGCGGUCGCCUCCCAAAAGGUAACGGAGGCGCUCAAAGGUUCUCUCAGUACGGUCGGAAAUCGUACGUAGAGUGUAAAGGCAAAAGAGAGCUUGAUUGCAAGACAUACAGGUCGAGCAAGGAUGAAAAUCGGACUUAGUGAUCCGGUGGUUCUGCGUGGAAGGGCCAUCGCUCAACGGAUAAAAGCUACCCUGGGGAUAACAGGCUUAUCUCCCCCAAGAGUCCACAUCGACGGGGAGGUUUGGCACCUCUAUGUCGGCUCAUCACAUCCUGGGGCUGUAGUAGGUCCCAAGGGUUGGGCUGUUCGCCCAUUAAAGUGGUACGCGAGCUGGGUUCAGAACGUCGUGAGACAGUUCGGUCCCUAUCCGUCGCAGGCGUAGGAAAUUUGAGAAGACCUGUCCUUAGUACGAGAGGACCGGGAUGGACGUACCUCUGGUGUACCAGUUGUUCUGCCAAGGGCAUGGCUGGGUAGCUAUGUACGGAAUGGAUAAGCGCUGAAAGCAUCUAAGCGCGAAGCCAACUUCAAGAUAAGAUUUCCCACCGCAAGGGUAAGAUCCCAGAAAGACUAUCUGGUUGAUAGGUCGAAGGUGUAAGUGCAGCAAUGUAUUUAGCUUAUCGAUACUAAUAGGUCGAGGACUUGACCAA
RNAcentral lists this ribosomal RNA (2896 nucleotides) under Clostridioides difficile. RNAcentral describes it as "bacterial LSU rRNA". It matches the Rfam family "Bacterial large subunit ribosomal RNA". Lineage: Bacteria; Bacillati; Bacillota; Clostridia; Peptostreptococcales; Peptostreptococcaceae. The record is from RNAcentral.